GAUGAACGCUAGCGGCAGGCCUAAUACAUGCAAGUCGAACGGUGUCUUCGGACAUAGUGGCGCACGGGUGCGUAACACGUAUGCAACCUACCUUACAUUGGGGGAUAGCCUUUCGAAAGGGAGAUUAAUACCGCAUAAGACAGUAGCUGGGCAUCCAGCAGCUGUUAAAGAUUUAUCGAUGUAAGAUGGGCAUGCGUCCAAUUAGUUAGUUGGCGAGGUAACGGCUCACCAAGACUUUGAUUGGUAGGGGAACUGAGAGGUCAAUCCCCCACACUGGCACUGAGAUACGGGCCAGACUCCUACGGGAGGCAGCAGUAGGGAAUAUUGGGCAAUGGACGCAAGUCUGACCCAGCCAUGCCGCGUGCAGGAUGAAGGCGUUAUGCGUUGUAAACUGCUUUUAUACAGGAAGAAACGACUCUUGCGAGAGGCAUUGACGGUACUGUAUGAAUAAGCACCGGCUAACUCCGUG
This 469-nucleotide ribosomal RNA is filed under the name uncultured bacterium. RNAcentral's name for it is "bacterial SSU rRNA". It matches the Rfam family "Bacterial small subunit ribosomal RNA", at positions 28 to 507 of the family's 1533-position model. The record is from RNAcentral.